CCAGACCCUGCCUGUGACAAGACCUGCUCCUCGCUGGCAGACCUGGCUAAAGGGUAAACAUCACUGCGGAGAGCUGGAGGUUUCUGGAGGCAAUGGGGGAGUACAUCUAGCAGCCUAUACAGAGGGAUCCAGCGACUACAUUACAGGAGACAGAAUCUGCAUAAGAUCCAGCAGAUCACAAAGGUAAGGAGAAUCAGAGGGCCAGGGAUCCCAGGAAAAAAAUCAGGUGACACACAAAUGAGACUGAGACCGGAAGUUUGGGUGUGUUUUGGGUUUUUUUGUUUUUUUUUUUUCAUUGAAAA
This is a long non-coding RNA of Mustela lutreola (European mink), 302 nucleotides long. RefSeq lists it as uncharacterized. The transcript is spliced from 2 exons. Lineage: Eukaryota; Metazoa; Chordata; Mammalia; Carnivora; Mustelidae. The record is from RefSeq and is a predicted model, not a curated record.